GUGCAGCAGGCGAGAAACCUCCGCAAUGCGGGAAACCGCGACGGGGGACCCCGAGUGCCGUGGCAACGCCACGGCUUUUCCGGAGUGUAAAAAGCUCCGGGAAUAAGGGCUGGGCAAGGCCGGUGGCAGCCGCCGCGGUAAUACCGGCGGCCCGAGUGGUGGCCGCUAUUAUUGGGCCUAAAGCGUCCGUAGCCGGGCCCGUAAGUCCCUGGCGAAAUCCCACGGCUCAACCGUGGGGCUUGCUGGGGAUACUGCGGGUCUUGGGACCGGGAGAGGCGGGGGGUACCCCUGGGGUAGGGGUGAAAUCCGUAUAAUCCCCAGGGGGACCGCCAGUGGCGAAGGCGCCCCGCUGGAACGGGUCCGACGGUGAGGGACGAAGGCCAGGGGAGCAAAACCGGAUUAGAUACCCCCCGUAGU
Molecule: ribosomal RNA, 417 nt
Filed under: uncultured microorganism
Description: bacterial SSU rRNA
Rfam family: Archaeal small subunit ribosomal RNA
Source: RNAcentral